CCUACGGGGUGCUGCAGUGGGGGAUAUUGCACAAUGGGGGGAACCCUGAUGCAGCGACGCCGCGUGGGUGAAGGAGCGUUUCGGCGCGUAAAGCCCUAUCGGCAGGGAAGAAGAUGACGGUACCUGGCCAAGAAGCCCCGGCUAACUACGUGCCAGCAGCCGCGGUAAUACGUAUGGGGCGAGCGUUUGCCGGAUUUACUGGGUGUAAAGGGGGCGCAGACGGCAAUGCAAGCCAGGAGUGAAAGCCCGGGGCCCAACCCCGGGACUGCUCUUGGAACUGCAUGGCUGGAGUACAGGAGGGGCAGGCGGAAUUCCUAGUGUAGCGGUGAAAUGCGUAGAUAGUAGGAGGAACACCGGUGGCGAAGGCGGCCUGCUGGACUGUGACUGACGUUGAGGCCCGAAGGCGUGGGGAGCAAACAGGAUUAGAUACCCUUGUAGUC
RNAcentral lists this ribosomal RNA (440 nucleotides) under uncultured bacterium. RNAcentral's name for it is "partial 16S ribosomal RNA". It matches the Rfam family "Bacterial small subunit ribosomal RNA", at positions 338 to 795 of the family's 1533-position model. The record is from RNAcentral.